UGGGGAAUAUUGGACAAUGGGCGCAAGCCUGAUCCAGCCAUGCCGCGUGAGUGAUGAAGGCCCUAGGGUUGUAAAGCUCUUUCACCGGUGAAGAUAAUGACGGUAUCCGGAGAAGAAGCCCCGGCUAACUUCGUGCCAGCAGCCGCGGUAAUACGAAGGGGGCUAGCGUUGUUCGGAUUUACUGGGCGUAAAGCGCACGUAGGCGGACUUUUAAGUCAGGGGUGAAAUCCCGGGGCUCAACCCCGGAACUGCCUUUGAUACUGGAAGUCUUGAGUAUGGUAGAGGUGAGUGGAAUUCCGAGUGUAGAGGUGAAAUUCGUAGAUAUUCGGAGGAACACCAGUGGCGAAGGCGGCUCACUGGACCAUUACUGACGCUGAGGUGCGAAAGCGUGGGGAGCAAACAGG
This 404-nucleotide ribosomal RNA is filed under the name Actinomycetes bacterium. RNAcentral describes it as "Actinobacteria bacterium partial 16S ribosomal RNA". It matches the Rfam family "Bacterial small subunit ribosomal RNA", at positions 355 to 776 of the family's 1533-position model. Lineage: Bacteria; Bacillati; Actinomycetota; Actinomycetes. RNAcentral also lists the same sequence under 1 other name. The record is from RNAcentral.